CGGCGAUCUUCAGCCGGAGCAUCCGAGCGGCUCUCUUCAGAUCUUCGGCACCGGAGCAUCCGAGAUCCAUGGGUAACUUCAGAUUCCAUCAGUACCAGGUUGUCGGACGUGCCCUCCCGACCCCGACGGAUGAGCACCCGAAGAUCUUCCGGAUGAAGCUGUGGGCGACGAAUGAAGUCAGGGCAAAAUCCAAGUUCUGGUACUUCCUGCGUAAAUUGAAGAAGGUGAAGAAGAGCAAUGGGCAAGUUCUUGCCAUUAAUGAGAUUUUUGAGAAGUAUCCGACCAAGAUCAAGAACUAUGGCAUCUGGCUCCGGUACCAGAGCAGGACUGGCUACCACAACAUGUACAAGGAGUACAGGGACACCAC
This 367-nucleotide unclassified non-coding RNA is filed under the name Hevea brasiliensis (rubber tree). The record is from RNAcentral. Lineage: Eukaryota; Viridiplantae; Streptophyta; Magnoliopsida; Malpighiales; Euphorbiaceae.